This 513-nucleotide ribosomal RNA is filed under the name unidentified oral bacterium AP60-54. RNAcentral describes it as "bacterial SSU rRNA". It matches the Rfam family "Bacterial small subunit ribosomal RNA", at positions 8 to 521 of the family's 1533-position model. The record is from RNAcentral.
AGAGUUUGAUCCUGGCUCAGGAUGAACGCUGGCGGCGUGCUUAACACAUGCAAGUCGAGCGAGAAGUUUUGAAAAGAUUCUUCGGAUGAAAUUUAAAAUGGAAAGCGGCGGACGGGUGAGUAACGCGUAGGCAACCUGCCCCAUACAAAGGGAUAGCAUUUGGAAACGAAUAUUAAUACCUUAUGAAACUUAACUAGUGCAUGCUAGGUAGGUCAAAGAUUUAUCGGUAUGGGAUGGGCCUGCGUCUGAUUAGCUAGUUGGUGAGGUAACGGCUCACCAAGGCGACGAUCAGUAGCCGACCUGAGAGGGUGAACGGCCACAUUGGAACUGAGACACGGUCCAAACUCCUACGGGAGGCAGCAGUGGGGAAUAUUGCACAAUGGGGGAAACCCUGAUGCAGCAACGCCGCGUGAACGAUGAAGGCCUUUGGGUCGUAAAGUUCUGUUCUAGGUGAUGAAAACUGACAGUAACCUGGGAGAAAGCCCCGGCUAACUCCGUGCCAGCAGCCGCGGU